GACGAACGCUGGCGGCGUGCCUAAUACAUGCAAGUUGAGCGCUGAAGGUUGGUACUUGUACCAACUGGAUGAGCAGCGAACGGGUGAGUAACGCGUGGGGAAUCUGCCUUUGAGCGGGGGACAACAUUUGGAAACGAAUGCUAAUACCGCAUAAAAACUUUACACACAAGUUUUAAGUUUGAAAGAUGCAAUUGCAUCACUCAAAGAUGAUCCCGCGUUGUAUUAGCUAGUUGGUGAGGUAAAGGCUCACCAAGGCGAUGAUACAUAGCCGACCUGAGAGGGUGAUCGGCCACAUUGGGACUGAGACACGGCCCAAACUCCUACGGGAGGCAGCAGUAGGGAAUCUUCGGCAAUGGACGAAAGUCUGACCGAGCAACGCCGCGUGAGUGAAGAAGGGUUUCGGAUCGUAAAACUCUGUUGGUAGAGAAGAACGUUGGUGAGAGUGGAAAGCUCAUCAAGUGACGGUAACUACCCAGAAAGGGACGGCUAACUACGUG
RNAcentral lists this ribosomal RNA (497 nucleotides) under uncultured bacterium. Its description in RNAcentral is "partial 16S ribosomal RNA". It matches the Rfam family "Bacterial small subunit ribosomal RNA", at positions 28 to 507 of the family's 1533-position model. The record is from RNAcentral.